CAAUUCCAUGGCUGUGAGCACAAAGGCCAAAUGAAGUGCCAACUUAGGCAACUGUCUGAUUAACCUAAUCCAUCUACACUGAGUCAGGAGAAUUCAGACUUUUUUGUUGCCUACCAGAAGCUUUUAGUCACGCUAGAUUAUUUCAACUAUCCUAUUUUCUACUUAUUUAUUCUUAGGACAGCCAUUUUCUAAUUUUCUGUGUUGAUGUGAUGGAUCUGUCCAAGGCUCUACUGCAAGGCCAAACCUUGUGACCAAACCAUAGCAUCUUGACAGAUUCAAUUAGGAUUUUGUGAGAAAAAAGUGAUAUAAUGCCUCUGAGGACCAGCCCACACAGUGACUGGAGUAGGUGGUCAAACAAUGAGAAUCUUUAGUCUAAAGUCAACAAGCAAGUUCCAUAUUACUGGCAUAAACGAUUAACUUGGACAAGAAUCCAAGAUAGAAAAAUAAUUAUGAAUAAGUCUGCGCCCAGGUUUAUUUGAACUUGUUGGGUUCAUUGAGUCUGGCACUGCAUACCAAAAUUAUGAUCAACAACUCAGGAAAAUACUCAACUUGAAAGAGAUUAGUGAAUGUGGACUCGAAAGGUCUAAGACAGAGAAAGAAGUUGCUGUAGAACACUUUUGCAAAACAGUGGUCUCCAAAGAGCCAUGAAACAGCUUGCUGAUUUUUGAAUUUCUGGGUUUAUUACAAAUGACUACAUAAAAGCCGUGUGGUAAGAAACGAACUUCUGGUAACAGAUGGUGGAAAAUCACCAGUAAGACCCAAACCUAACAGAGACUGCUUCUGGAGCCAUGGUUCUCACUAAGGGUUAUUAGCAUCAUUCUUUGAUGAUGGGCAUUGAGGCAUCAGAACUCAUGGAUAUCACAGUUCCUGUGUGGAGAGGAAGCUUCAGAUGGUGCUCUUGCACAGACGGGACUGCCAUUCCCAUUUUAGUGGAUCUCUUAAAAGUUCGAAUGGCUCCUCUAAUGCCUGAUGUGAAUGGAACCUUUCUCUCUGCUUCAGUCAAGAAUCUGGUGACAAAGAAGCUUCAUCCUUUCAAUCUUACAAUUUCAAUCUCCUAUCUCAAGAAAGCUCAUUUCUAUGUAUUACCAGUGCAUCCUCCACAUGCUCUUCUGCAGUUGUUCCUUCUGCGGGAAAUGAUCUCUCCUUUUGUCGAGGCUUGGUGAAAUCCUUUGAAAUUCUGUUGAUUCUGUAAGAGCCAACACAAAUACCAACUGCCCUGAAUACUUUCUGGCUAAACUGCCACAAUGAACGAGGAUUCCUCACCCAUGUCCCUCCCUUUCCCUUCCUUUCUUUUUAUAAUGGUAUGCUUAUUGUUUUUUAAUGUAACAUUUUUCUUACAAAAGGAAUACACAUUCAGUGUUAAAAUGGAAAUGUAGAAAAGUCUUCAGAAGAAAAUAAAAAUCACCUGCAAAUCCAUUUCCUGAAGUAAUUAUUUUUGCUAAUGUUUUAUUACAAUAUAGCUCAUCCUCUUUCGCUGCCUCUUCCUCUUCUCUCUCCCUUCCUCCCUCCUUCCUGUCCUUCCUCUGUCUCUCCUUCCCUUUUUCUCUCUCUCUCUGGUUGCAGCAUCUCUGUUUUUUCUCUGUUUUUUUUUUUAAUCAAAUGUAUCGAGGUGUGACUUACAUUCAAUAAAAUGCACAGUUAGAUGAAUUUUGAAAAAUGUCAUAAUUCAUAUUACCAACAUCUCAAUCAAGAUAUAUAAUGCCUCCAUCACCCCAAAAAGGGACGGAUGAUGGACUCACUCAUG
This 1744-nucleotide long non-coding RNA is filed under the name Homo sapiens (human). RNAcentral describes it as "HSALNT0299478". Lineage: Eukaryota; Metazoa; Chordata; Mammalia; Primates; Hominidae. The record is from RNAcentral.